RNAcentral lists this ribosomal RNA (253 nucleotides) under uncultured bacterium. Its description in RNAcentral is "partial 16S ribosomal RNA". It matches the Rfam family "Bacterial small subunit ribosomal RNA", at positions 524 to 776 of the family's 1533-position model. The record is from RNAcentral.
UACAGAGGGGGCAAGCGUUGUUCGGAAUUACUGGGCGUAAAGGGCGCGUAGGCGGCCUUCUAAGUCGAACGUGAAAUCCCCGGGCUCAACCCGGGAACUGCGUCCGAGACUGGAAGGCUUGAAUCCGGGAGAGGGAUGUGGAAUUCCAGGUGUAGCGGUGAAAUGCGUAGAUAUCUGGAGGAACACCGGUGGCGAAGGCGGCAUCCUGGACCGAGAUUGACACUGAUGAGCGAAAGCUAGGGGAGCAAACGGG